Molecule: transfer RNA, 71 nt
Filed under: Loxodonta africana (African savanna elephant)
Lineage: Eukaryota; Metazoa; Chordata; Mammalia; Proboscidea; Elephantidae
Rfam family: tRNA
About the family: Transfer RNA (tRNA) molecules are approximately 80 nucleotides in length. Their secondary structure includes four short double-helical elements and three loops (D, anti-codon, and T loops). Further hydrogen bonds mediate the characteristic L-shaped molecular structure. tRNAs have two regions of fundamental functional importance: the anti-codon, which is responsible for specific mRNA codon recognition, and the 3' end, to which the tRNAs corresponding amino acid is attached (by aminoacyl-tRNA synthetases). tRNAs cope with the degeneracy of the genetic code in two manners: having more than one tRNA (with a specific anti-codon) for a particular amino acid; and 'wobble' base-pairing, i.e. permitting non-standard base-pairing at the 3rd anti-codon position.
Source: Rfam by way of RNAcentral
ACAUUGGUGGUUCAGUGGUAGAAUUCUAGCCUUCCAUGAGGGCGACCUGGGUUCGAGUCUCAGCCAAUACA